GAAGGUAUAGCUCAAGUGGUAGGGUGCAUGCUUAGCAGGCAUGAGGUUCUGGGUUCAAUCCCCAGUACUUCCA
This 73-nucleotide transfer RNA is filed under the name Camelus bactrianus (Bactrian camel). It matches the Rfam family "tRNA". From Rfam's summary of the family: Transfer RNA (tRNA) molecules are approximately 80 nucleotides in length. Their secondary structure includes four short double-helical elements and three loops (D, anti-codon, and T loops). RNAcentral also lists the same sequence under 2 other names. Lineage: Eukaryota; Metazoa; Chordata; Mammalia; Artiodactyla; Camelidae. The record is from Rfam by way of RNAcentral.